AGCGAACGUUAGCGGCGCGCCUAACACAUGCAAGUCGCACGAGAAAGGGAGCAAUCCCCGGUACAGUGGCGCACGGGUGAGUAACACGUGGAUUACCUGCCCUGGAGUGGUGGAUAACCUGCCGAAAGGUGGGCUAAUACAGCAUGAGACCACGCGGUUUCGAUCGUGAGGUCAAAGCGGGCUUCUGGUUACAUGCUCGCGCUCUGGGAUGGGUCCGCGGCCCAUCAGCUAGUUGGUAGGGUAAUGGCCUACCAAGGCAACGACGGGUAGCUGGUCUGAGAGGAUGAUCAGCCACACUGGAACUGAGACACGGUCCAGACUCCUACGGGAGGCAGCAGUGGGGAAUCUUGCGCAAUGGGCGAAAGCCUGACGCAGCGACGCCGCGUGGGUGAUGAAGGCCUUCGGGUUGUAAAGCCCUGUGGGGAGAGACGAACCGGCUCGGGGUGAACAUCCUCGGGUCUUGACGGUAUCUUCUUAGCAAGCAUCGGCUAACUCUGUGCCAGCCGC
RNAcentral lists this ribosomal RNA (507 nucleotides) under uncultured bacterium. RNAcentral's name for it is "bacterial SSU rRNA". It matches the Rfam family "Bacterial small subunit ribosomal RNA", at positions 28 to 515 of the family's 1533-position model. The record is from RNAcentral.